AACACUAGAAAUAGGUGCUAAUACCGCAUAAGCGCACAGCUUCGCAUGAAGCGGUGUGAAAAACUCUGGUGGUAUACGAUGGUUCCGCGUCUGAUUAGCUAGUUGGUGGGGUAAUGGCCUACCAAGGCAACGAUCAGUAGCCGGCCUGAGAGGGUGAACGGCCACAUUGGGACUGAGACACGGCCCAAACUCCUACGGGAGGCAGCAG
Molecule: ribosomal RNA, 208 nt
Filed under: uncultured bacterium
Lineage: Bacteria
Description: partial 16S ribosomal RNA
Rfam family: Bacterial small subunit ribosomal RNA
Source: RNAcentral